This 432-nucleotide ribosomal RNA is filed under the name uncultured bacterium. Its description in RNAcentral is "partial 16S ribosomal RNA". It matches the Rfam family "Bacterial small subunit ribosomal RNA", at positions 29 to 506 of the family's 1533-position model. The record is from RNAcentral.
AACGAACGCUGGCGGCAUGCCUAACACAUGCAAGUCGAACGAGACCUUCGGGUCUAGUGGCGCACGGGUGCGUAACGCGUGGGAACCUGCCCUUAGGUUCGGAAUAACUCCCCGAAAGGGGUGCUAAUACCGGAUAAUGUCUUCGGACCAAAGAUUUAUCGCCUUUGGAUGGGCCCGCGUUGGAUUAGCUAGUUGGUAGGGUAAAAGCCUACCAAGGCGACGAUCCAUAGCUGGUCUGAGAGGAUGAUCAGCCACACUGGGACUGAGACACGGCCCAAACUCCUACGGGAGGCAGCAGUGGGGAAUAUUGGACAAUGGGCGAAAGCCUGAUCCAGCAAUGCCGCGUGAGUGAUGAAGGCCUUAGGGUUGUAAAGCUCUUUUACCCGGGAUGAUAAUGACAGUACCGGGAGAAUAAGCUCCGGCUAACUCCGU